This 673-nucleotide ribosomal RNA is filed under the name uncultured Enterobacterales bacterium. RNAcentral describes it as "bacterial SSU rRNA". It matches the Rfam family "Bacterial small subunit ribosomal RNA", at positions 60 to 722 of the family's 1533-position model. Lineage: Bacteria; Pseudomonadati; Pseudomonadota; Gammaproteobacteria; Enterobacterales. The record is from RNAcentral.
AGUCGAACGGUAACAGGAAGCAGCUUGCUGCUUCGCUGACGAGUGGCGGACGGGUGAGUAAUGUCUGGGAAACUGCCUGAUGGAGGGGGAUAACUACUGGAAACGGUAGCUAAUACCGCAUAACGUCGCAAGACCAAAGAGGGGGACCUUCGGGCCUCUUGCCAUCGGAUGUGCCCAGAUGGGAUUAGCUAGUAGGUGGGGUAACGGCUCACCUAGGCGACGAUCCCUAGCUGGUCUGAGAGGAUGACCAGCCACACUGGAACUGAGACACGGUCCAGACUCCUACGGGAGGCAGCAGUGGGGAAUAUUGCACAAUGGGCGCAAGCCUGAUGCAGCCAUGCCGCGUGUAUGAAGAAGGCCUUCGGGUUGUAAAGUACUUUCAGCGGGGAGGAAGGCGACAGGGUUAAUAACCCUGUCGAUUGACGUUACCCGCAGAAGAAGCACCGGCUAACUCCGUGCCAGCAGCCGCGGUAAUACGGAGGGUGCAAGCGUUAAUCGGAAUUACUGGGCGUAAAGCGCACGCAGGCGGUCUGUCAAGUCGGAUGUGAAAUCCCCGGGCUCAACCUGGGAACUGCAUUCGAAACUGGCAGGCUAGAGUCUUGUAGAGGGGGGUAGAAUUCCAGGUGUAGCGGUGAAAUGCGUAGAGAUCUGGAGGAAUACCGGUGGCGAAGGC